RNAcentral lists this ribosomal RNA (424 nucleotides) under uncultured bacterium. RNAcentral's name for it is "bacterial SSU rRNA". It matches the Rfam family "Bacterial small subunit ribosomal RNA", at positions 355 to 776 of the family's 1533-position model. The record is from RNAcentral.
UGAGGAAUAUUGGUCAAUGGGCGCAAGCCUGAACCAGCCAUGCCGCGUGCAGGAUGACGGCCCUAUGGGUUGUAAACUGCUUUUGUACGGGAAGAAACCGUUCUACGUGUAGAACUUUGACGGUACCGUAAGAAUAAGGAUCGGCUAACUCCGUGCCAGCAGCCGCGGUAAUACGGAGGAUCCAAGCGUUAUCCGGAAUCAUUGGGUUUAAAGGGUCCGUAGGCGGCCCUGUAAGUCAGUGGUGAAAUCUUUCGGCUCAACCGGAAAAUUGCCAUUGAUACUGCAGGGCUUGAAUUAUUGGGAAGUAACUAGAAUAUGUAGUGUAGCGGUGAAAUGCUUAGAGAUUACAUGGAAUACCGAUUGCGAAGGCAGGUUACUACCAAUCAAUUGACGCUGAUGGACGAAAGCGUGGGGAGCGAACAGG